AGGGAAUAUUGCACAAUGGAGGAAACUCUGAUGCAGCGACGCCGCGUGAGUGAUGAAGGACUUCGGUUCGUAAAGCUCUGUCGUAUGGGAAUAAAAAAAUGAAGGUACCAUGCAAGAAAGGAUCGGCUAACUUCGUGCCAGCAGCCGCGGUAAGACGAGGGAUCCUAGCGUUGUUCGGAAUCAUUGGGCGUAAAGCGGAUGUAGGUGGCUUUGUAAGUCAGGUGUGAAAGCCCAGGGCUCAACCCUGGAAGUGCAUUUGAUACUGCGAAGCUUGAGUGCUGGAGAGGCUAUUAGAAUACCUGGUGUAGUGGUGAAAUACGUAGAUAUCAGGUGGAAUACCGGAGGCGAAGGCGGAUAGCUGGCCAGACACUGACACUCAGAUCCGAAAGUGUGGGGAUCAAACAGGA
Molecule: ribosomal RNA, 407 nt
Filed under: uncultured Bdellovibrio sp.
Lineage: Bacteria; Pseudomonadati; Bdellovibrionota; Bdellovibrionia; Bdellovibrionales; Pseudobdellovibrionaceae
Description: bacterial SSU rRNA
Rfam family: Bacterial small subunit ribosomal RNA
Source: RNAcentral